RNAcentral lists this ribosomal RNA (253 nucleotides) under uncultured bacterium. RNAcentral describes it as "partial 16S ribosomal RNA". It matches the Rfam family "Bacterial small subunit ribosomal RNA", at positions 524 to 776 of the family's 1533-position model. The record is from RNAcentral.
UACAGAGGGGGCAAGCGUUGUUCGGAAUUACUGGGCGUAAAGGGCUCGUAGGCGGCUAACUAAGUCAGACGUGAAAUCCCUCGGCUUAACCGGGGAACUGCGUCUGAUACUGGAUGGCUUGAGUUCGGGAGAGGGAUGCGGAAUUCCAGGUGUAGCGGUGAAAUGCGUAGAUAUCUGGAGGAACACCGGUGGCGAAGGCGGCAUCCUGGACCGACACUGACGCUGAGGAGCGAAAGCCAGGGGAGCAAACGGG